Molecule: ribosomal RNA, 197 nt
Filed under: uncultured Anaerolineaceae bacterium
Lineage: Bacteria; Bacillati; Chloroflexota; Anaerolineae; Anaerolineales; Anaerolineaceae
Description: partial 16S ribosomal RNA
Rfam family: Bacterial small subunit ribosomal RNA
Source: RNAcentral
CAGCAUGGCCUUUACUAUCCUGGGCGUACACACACGCUACAAUGGGAAGGGACAAUAGGUUGCGAAGCCGCGAGGCGGAGCCAAUCCAGACAAAACUUCCCUCAGUUCAGAUUGCAGGCUGCAACUCGCCUGCAUGAAGUUGGAGUUGCUAGUAAACGCAGGUCAGCCAUACUGCGUUGAAUACGUUCCCGGGGCUU